UCCCUGGUGGCUCAGAACGUAAAGCAUCUGCCUACAAUGCAGGAGACCUGGGUUCAAUCCCUGGGUUGGGAA
Molecule: transfer RNA, 72 nt
Filed under: Bos taurus (domestic cattle)
Lineage: Eukaryota; Metazoa; Chordata; Mammalia; Artiodactyla; Bovidae
Also listed under: 5 other names
Rfam family: tRNA
About the family: Transfer RNA (tRNA) molecules are approximately 80 nucleotides in length. Their secondary structure includes four short double-helical elements and three loops (D, anti-codon, and T loops).
Source: Rfam by way of RNAcentral